This 465-nucleotide ribosomal RNA is filed under the name uncultured bacterium. RNAcentral's name for it is "bacterial SSU rRNA". It matches the Rfam family "Bacterial small subunit ribosomal RNA", at positions 338 to 795 of the family's 1533-position model. The record is from RNAcentral.
CCUACGGGGUGCACCAGUGGGGAAUAUUGCACAAUGGGCGCAAGCCUGAUGCAGCCAUGCCGCGUGUAUGAAGAAGGCCUUCGGGUUGUAAAGUACUUUCAGCGGGGAGGAAGGCGAUAAGGUUAAUAACCUUGUCGAUUGACGUUACCCGCAGAAGAUGCACCGGCUAACUCCGUGCCAGCAGCCGCGGUAAUACGGAGGGUGCAAGCGUUAAUCGGAAUUACUGGGCGUAAAGCGCACGCAGGCGGUCUGUCAAGUCGGAUGUGAAAUCCCCGGGCUCAACCUGGGAACUGCAUUCGAAACUGGCAGGCUAGAGUCUUGUAGAGGGGGGUAGAAUUCCAGGUGUAGCGGUGAAUUGCGUAGAGAUCUGGAGGAAUACCGGUGGCGGAGGCGGCCCCCUGGACAAAGACUAACGCUCAGGUGCGAAAGCGUGGGGAGCAAACAGGAUUAGAUACCCCUGUAGUC